Bufo bufo (common toad) is the source of this 202-nucleotide long non-coding RNA. RefSeq lists it as uncharacterized. The record is from RefSeq and is a predicted model, not a curated record. The transcript has 3 exons. Lineage: Eukaryota; Metazoa; Chordata; Amphibia; Anura; Bufonidae.
CUCUCCCUCACAGCAGCAGCAUCCUAUCCCUACACUAGUAAGAGCAGAGUGACGUGUGGCGCUAUGUGACUCUAGCUUAUUUAGAGGCUGGGUCGCAUGCUGCACUGGCCAAUCACAGCCAUGCCAUUAGUAGGCAUGGCUGUGAUGGCCUCAUGGGGCAAGUAGUAUGACGCUUAGAAAUCGCCGAACACCGAACCCGAAC